UUCUUAAUGUAGCCCAACGUCUGUGACAAGCCAGAAGAGAUUACCUAUAGUUACGCGUACUAAGGUAAUAGAAUACAGAGUCAAGA
Molecule: non-coding RNA, 86 nt
Filed under: unclassified sequences
Source: RNAcentral